UGGGGAAUAUUGCACAAUGGGGGAAACCCUGAUGCAGCGACGCCGCGUGAACGAAUAAGGUAUUCGUAUCGUAAAGUUCUGUCCUAUGUGAAGAUAAUGACAGUACCAUAGAAGAAAGCUCCGGCUAAAUACGUGCCAGCAGCCGCGGUAAUACGUAUGGAGCGAGCGUUGUCCGGAAUUAUUGGGCGUAAAGGGUACGCAGGCGGUUUAAUAAGUCGAAUGUUAAAGAUCGGGGCUCAACCCCGUAAAGCAUUGGAAACUGAUAAACUUGAGUAGUGGAGAGGAAAGUGGAAUUCCUAGUGUAGUGGUGAAAUACGUAGAUAUUAGGAGGAAUACCAGUAGCGAAGGCGACUUGCUGGACACAAACUGACGCUGAGGUACGAAAGCGUGGGGAGCAAACAGG
This 403-nucleotide ribosomal RNA is filed under the name bacterium. RNAcentral's name for it is "partial 16S ribosomal RNA". It matches the Rfam family "Bacterial small subunit ribosomal RNA", at positions 355 to 776 of the family's 1533-position model. The record is from RNAcentral.